GGAUUUGCAUGGAGCUAGUUGGUGGCAGAGGCAAGCUAUGCUCUCAGAGCAUGCCUGCAUUUUAAAAGGCCGGAAGGAAAUACGUCCACAUGCUAACUUGCCCCUGGCCACGCUUUUCUGGUUCUUAUCCAUGUUCUGCAGUAAACCUGUUUUGCUGUCAACAAUCAACCCAGCAUCAUGGCGAAAGGCAAAUGGCCUGAGGGCCUUCUGCCCAGGGUUGGGCUUGCGGCCUGGGUCCCUUGGGCUGGACUGAGGUGGAUCUGGGGGCCUGUGCAUCUCCUGGUUACUCCCAGGAACUGAGGGGAUGGCCCUGCUCUGUCCAGAUCCCCCUCCCAGCCCUGGGCCAGAAUCCUCCUUCCAGAACAGCCCCUGCAGACAUACUUAGCCAUUCCCAGCCCCAGCUUCAGGAAGCCUCCUGUACUUUCCAGAACUGAUUACGACGAGUGUGAAAGGAAAGAGGACGACUGUGUGCCGGGGACAUCCUGUCGAAACACCCUCGGGUCUUUCACUUGUAGCUGCGAGGGAGGAGCCCCCGACUUCCCUGUGGAAUAUUCUGAGAGACCCUGUGAAGGUGACUCUCCUGGCAAUGAAACCUGGGCCACCAGCCCAGAGAGGCCUCUCACCACAGCAGGGACCAAGGCUGCCUUUGUGCAAGGCACCAGCCCCACCCCUCAAGGCCUGCCCCAGCGGCUGAACCUGACCGCAGCAGUCAGGGUGCUCUGUGAGAUCGAGAAGGUGGUUGUCGCCAUCCAGAAGCGCUUCCUGCAGCAGGAAUCCAUCCCCGAGUCCUCGUUGUACCUCAGCCACCCCUCCUGCAACGUGAGCCACAGCAAUGGCACACACGUGCUCCUGGAGGCCGGCUGGAACGAGUGUGGGACCCUCAUGCAGAGCAACAUGACGAACACCGUGGUGAGGACCACGCUGAGGAACGACCUGUCCCAGGAGGGCAUCAUCCACCACCUGAAGAUCCUGAGCCCCAUCUACUGCGCCUUCCAGAAUGACCUGCUGACAUCCUCCGGCUUCACCCUGGAGUGGGGGGUUUACGCCAUCAUCGAGGACCUCCACGGUGCUGGGAAUUUUGUUACUGAAAUGCAGUUGUUUAUCGGAGACUCUCCCAUACCUCAGAAUUAUAGCGUGUCUGCCAGUGACGACGUCAGGAUCGAAGUGGGGCUCUACAGGCAGAAAAGCAACCUCAAGGUGGUCCUGACGGAGUGCUGGGCAACCCCGUCUAGCAACGCCCGGGACCCCGUCACCUUCAGCUUCAUUAACAACAGCUGCCCCGUGCCCAACACAUACACCAACAUGAUUGAGAACGGCAACUCCAAUAAGGCCCAGUUCAAGCUGAGGGUCUUUUCCUUUAUCAACAACUCCAUCGUCUACCUGCACUGCAAACUCCGCAUCUGCAUGGAAUCCCCCGGGGCCACGUGCAAAAUCAAUUGCAAUAACUUUCGGUUGCUGCAAAAUAGUGAAACCUCUGCCACACACCAGAUGUCCUGGGGACCCCUCAUCCGGUCUGAAGGUGAGCCUCCACAUGCAGAAGCAGGCCUGGGUGCCGGUUAUGUGGUCCUUAUUGUGGUGGCCAUCUUCGUGCUGGUGGCGGGAACAGCCACCCUUCUGAUCAUGCGCUACCAGAGAAUGAAUGGGAGAUACAACUUUAAAAUCCAGUCCAACAACUUCAGCUACCAGGUGUUCUAUGAAUAGGAGGCGCAGGCUGACAGGAAGGUCGCCGUGAGUCAACCUGCCUCCAGAACCUCAGAGCUUCCCUGGUGGGCUCCCCCGGGAUCCCCAGUGUCUCUCUGCGCCUCCACCCAUCCCUCGGUUCUUAACUCUUCAAGCCUUAACGGAGGUCUGCUCUGACGGGUGGGCUCUGCCAGAGCCCGGGUGAGCCCAGAAAGGAAGACAGCAGCCACCGUCUGCCCCGAAGAGGCAGGCCGUCCUGUAGGUCCUAGAGGAGCCACAGCCCACGGGCAGAUGAAGGGGCUGCGGAAGACGGGGGUAGUCCUGGGGGUGCUGCGGCUACACCACCACCCGCGCGGCCCCCACAGCCCAGACCUCCCAGGCCUGUGACCCUCCACACCAGCCCUCAGAACCCUCCUGGGCUUGCCCUCCCUUGGCGUCCGUCACCCUUUGGCAAAUAUAGAAUAUUUCACAUUCUCAGAGAGACCCGACCGUGCUCUUGAUGCUUUUGAAAAUAGGUCAGUCUUAGAAAUAUACUGCUAAUGUUAUUUUUAGUGGAUGUUUAUGCUCUUUGACUUUUCUCCUGUGUACCAAGGUAUUGCUUUUAUUUACACGACAGCGACUCAAAAGGCACUCGAUUAAUGUGACAACCUUUUCAAUAAGUAGAAAUAACGUAGGUACACAUCACUCUUUACAUUUUUCUAAGCAUUUUCACAGCCGUUUCUUCAUAUAAUCUGACCACAGUGGGAGGUGUGAUUUACCCAUUACACAAUGAGAAACCAGAGGAGCUGAUGAGUUACUUAAUUGAGGUCACAGAAUGAAUUAGCAAGAAAAUGGUUCUAAAAUCUAAGUAUUUUAGUCUAGAAUUUUCUCCAUUAUAUCAUCCUAAGAGAUAAUGCUCUGUACUUCAUUUGAAAUAAACUAGAAUUGUAUUAGAUAGCUC
This 2620-nucleotide small RNA is filed under the name Pan troglodytes (chimpanzee). RNAcentral's name for it is "processed transcript". The record is from RNAcentral. Lineage: Eukaryota; Metazoa; Chordata; Mammalia; Primates; Hominidae.